This is a small nuclear RNA of Callithrix jacchus (white-tufted-ear marmoset), 99 nucleotides long. Lineage: Eukaryota; Metazoa; Chordata; Mammalia; Primates; Cebidae. The record is from Ensembl.
UUCGGUAGCACAGACACUAAAAAAAAUUGGAAUGUAUAGAGACCGGCAUAGCCCCUGCACAAGGAUGACAUGCAAAUUCACGAAGCAUUCAAUAUUUAG